Ornithodoros turicata is the source of this 168-nucleotide long non-coding RNA. RefSeq lists it as uncharacterized. The record is from RefSeq and is a predicted model, not a curated record. The transcript is spliced from 4 exons. Lineage: Eukaryota; Metazoa; Arthropoda; Arachnida; Ixodida; Argasidae.
CAGCAGUCCAUUUCAAGCCUCAACUGGAGGGUCGUCAAAUUUUCCCAGGGUGCUCGAGCACGACUCGUCACAGAGUUCCUGUUCGGGGACACCUAUACUGACCGCAAAGAGGCGGAGGCGUGGCGGUGAAGACAUAGUGAACUGCAUCAGGGACAACAUGGAUUCUCU